RNAcentral lists this ribosomal RNA (316 nucleotides) under uncultured Bacteroidales bacterium. Its description in RNAcentral is "partial 16S ribosomal RNA". The record is from RNAcentral. Lineage: Bacteria; Pseudomonadati; Bacteroidota; Bacteroidia; Bacteroidales.
GGAGUUUGGGCCGUGUCUCAGUCCCAAUGUGGCCGAUCACUCUCUCAAGUCGGCUACUGAUCGUUGCCUUGGUAGGCCGUUACCCUGCCAACUACCUAAUGCCACGCAUGCCCGUCCCGCACCACCGAAGCUUUAGUCCCCAGACCAUGCGGCCCGGGAACACCAUGGGAUAUUAGUGGAAGUUUCCCUCCGUUAUCCCCCUGUGCGGGGCAGGUUGCAUACGCGUUACGCACCCGUGCGCCGGUCGCCGCCAGGGUAUUGCUACCCCGCGCUGCCCCUCGACUUGCAUGUGUUAAGCCUGCCGCUAGCGUUCAUC